RNA transcript from Camellia sinensis, 891 nucleotides. It is a transcript of the gene named Glutaredoxin family protein, with no coding region annotated. The record is from RefSeq and is a predicted model, not a curated record. Lineage: Eukaryota; Viridiplantae; Streptophyta; Magnoliopsida; Ericales; Theaceae.
UCCUUGAAGCCCAACUGACCCCUUGUCGGAAAUUUUCAAAUACUUACGCACACAGAACGAGAGAGAGAGAGAGAGAGAGAGAGAGAGAGAGACGAGGAUGGUGCUGUAUGAUAAGCUCACUAGGGUUAGGGUUGUUGCAAGAACGACACUAAUCGUGUUUAUACUGUUGGUGUUGAAUAGUGGACCAAAACAAGCCCUAGCCUCCAAUUCAGCAACAGCUUUCGUGCAGAACGUUAUCUACUCCAACAAGAUUGCCAUCUUCUCCAAAUCUUAUUGCCCGUAUUCCCUGCGAGCCAAACGUAUAUUCAGUGAACUAAAUGAGAAACCUUUUGUCGUGGAGCUUGAUCUGCGAGAUGAUGGGUAUAAAAUUCAGGAUGUCCUUCUAGAUCAGGUGGGCCGACACACUGUCCCGCAAGUUUUUGUUAAUGGUAAACAUGUUGGAGGCUCUGAUGAUCUCAAAACUGCUGUCCAGAAUGGUCAGUUGCAGAACCUUCUUAGCAAAAGUUGAUGAAAUACUGUAAUAUGAGAAAACUCUGGAAGUCAGCAUCUUAUAUUUUUCUACAACCAGCGAUAAAAAUUUGGAGCCUGAAGGAGUGUGUAUCAUAAAAUCAGCUUUUUUGAAGAGCUUUGAUUCUCAUCGGACGAAUGGGAUUGUGGGGUAGUGCUUCAUCAGGUUCGCUUUGAUCGUGUCUUAUUCCCACUUGAAUCUCUUGUUGUGAAUUGCGAUUGCUCCUUUAAAUUUGUUACUCUGUUGUGGCUAAUUUUCUGGCUUUUCCUUUUCUUCUUUUUGUCUGUUGAUGUUGCAUUGUUUGCUGUUGGGUCUUUGUGUGAUAUCUAGUCUUUGUAAGCUUUUGUGGUGGUCAGCUUCUUUAUUCGUUGGGGUUUCACCUA